This 1580-nucleotide ribosomal RNA is filed under the name human metagenome. RNAcentral's name for it is "bacterial LSU rRNA". It matches the Rfam family "Bacterial large subunit ribosomal RNA", at positions 1103 to 2560 of the family's 2925-position model. The record is from RNAcentral.
GGCUUAGAAGCAGCCAUCCUUGAAAGAGUGCGUAAUAGCUCACUGGUCAAGUGAUUCUGCGCCGAUAAUGUAGCGGGGCUCAAGUACACCGCCGAAGUUAUGGCAAUCAGUCCUUGUGGCUGGUUGGGUAGGGGAGCGUCCUGCAUGAGGUGAAGCUGCCACGGGAGUGUGUGGUGGAUUGUGUGGGAGUGAGAAUGCAGGCAUGAGUAGCGAAUCACGGGUGAGAAACCCGUGCGCCGGAUGAUCAAGGGUUCCAGGGUCAAGUUAAUCUGCCCUGGGUUAGUCGGGGCCUAAGGCGAGGCCGACAGGCGUAGUCGAUGGAUAACGGGUUGAUAUUCCCGUACCAGUGAAGGACCGUCCAUACUGAUAUUGUGAUGCUAACCAUGCCGAACACAGUGUGCUGCUCUUUUGGGUGGUGUGUUGUGGGGUGUGUGGGACCCAGGCUUUGGAGGUAAGCGUGUUAACAGGUGUGACGCAGGAAGGUAGCCAAGCCACGCGGUGGUUGUCGUGGUCUAAGCGUGUAGGAUGGUUGGUUGUUAAAUGCGCCAGCUGUGUGUCUGAGACGUGAUGGGACCCCGUUGUUGGGGGAUUUGGUGAUCCUAUGCUGUCGAGAAAAGCAUCGGCGUGAGGUUUGAGCUGCCCGUACCCGAAACCGACACAGGUGAUCAGGUAGAGAAUACUAAGGCGAUCGAGAGAAUCAUGGUUAAGGAACUCGGCAAAAUGCCCCCGUAACUUCGGGAGAAGGGGGGCCCUGAGCGUGAUCUGCCCGUGCGGUGGGGAGCGUGUAGGGGUCGCAGAGACCAGGGGGAAGCGACUGUUUAUCAAAAACACAGGUCCGUGCGAAGUCGUAAGACGAGGUAUACGGACUGACUCCUGCCCGGUGCUGGAAGGUUAAGAGGAGUGGUUAGCCCUUUUGGGGGCGAAGCUGCGAAUUUAAGCCCCAGUAAACGGCGGUGGUAACUAUAACCAUCCUAAGGUAGCGAAAUUCCUUGUCGGGUAAGUUCCGACCUGCACGAAUGGAGUAACGACUUCCCUACUGUCUCAACCAUGAACUCGGUGAAAUUGCAGUACGAGUAAAGAUGCUCGUUUCGCGCAGCAGGACGGAAAGACCCCGUGACCUUUACUAUAGUUUGGUAUUGGUGUUUGGGUUGGCUUGUGUAGGAUAGGUGGGAGACUGUGAAGCUGUCACGCUAGUGGUGGUGGAGUCGUUGUUGAAAUACCACUCUGGUCAAUCUGAGCGUCUAACUUCGGGCCAUGAUCUGGUUCAGGGACAGUGCCUGAUGGGUAGUUUAACUGGGGCGGUUGCCUCCUAAAGUGUAACGGAGGCGCCCAAAGGUUCCCUCAGCCUGGUUGGCAAUCAGGUGUUGAGUGUAAGUGCACAAGGGAGCUUGACUGUGAGAGUGGCGGCUCGAGCAGGUGCGAAAGCAGGGACUAGUGAUCCGGCAGUGGCGUGUGGAAGCGCUGUCGCUCAACGGAUAAAAGGUACCUCGGGGAUAACAGGCUGAUCUUGCCCAAGAGUCCAUAUCGACGGCAUGGUUUGGCACCUCGAUGUCGGCUCGUCGCAUCCUGGGGCUGGAGUC